GCUCGGUUGGUUAAGCGUCCGACUCUUGAUUUGGGCUCAGGUCGUGAUCUCACAGUUUGUGGGUUCAAGCCCCACAUCGGGCU
RNAcentral lists this transfer RNA (83 nucleotides) under Felis catus (domestic cat). It matches the Rfam family "tRNA". From Rfam's summary of the family: Transfer RNA (tRNA) molecules are approximately 80 nucleotides in length. Their secondary structure includes four short double-helical elements and three loops (D, anti-codon, and T loops). The record is from Rfam by way of RNAcentral. RNAcentral also lists the same sequence under 3 other names. Lineage: Eukaryota; Metazoa; Chordata; Mammalia; Carnivora; Felidae.